AAGGGAGAAAGUGAUCUUGGGAGAGUGCUAAUUUUUCCGAGCCGUAGUUAGAUUCCACGGGUCCCUUA
This 68-nucleotide transfer RNA is filed under the name Gymnothorax eurostus (Abbott's moray eel). RNAcentral describes it as "tRNA-Ser". Lineage: Eukaryota; Metazoa; Chordata; Actinopteri; Anguilliformes; Muraenidae. The record is from RNAcentral.